This 394-nucleotide unclassified non-coding RNA is filed under the name uncultured Gemmatimonadaceae bacterium. Its description in RNAcentral is "contains 16S-23S intergenic spacer region". The record is from RNAcentral. Lineage: Bacteria; Pseudomonadati; Gemmatimonadota; Gemmatimonadia; Gemmatimonadales; Gemmatimonadaceae.
UCCGGUUUGGCACCGGCAGUCCCCCUAGAGUCCCCGGCUCGGUGCGUUAGCACCUCUCCGCUGGCAACUAGGGGCGGGGGUUGCGCUCGUUGCGGGACUUAACCCAACAUCUCACGACACGAGCUGACGACAGCCAUGCAGCACCUGUGCUACGGCUCCGAAGAGGGGCCGGCGUCUCUGCCGGCUUACCGUAGCAUGUCAAGCCCAGGUAAGGUUCUUCGCGUUGCGUCGAAUUAAACCACAUGCUCCACCGCUUGUGCGGGCCCCCGUCAAUUCCUUUGAGUUUCAGCCUUGCGGCCGUACUCCCCAGGCGGGGCACUUAAUGCGUUAGCGCCGGCACCCGGGGGGUCGCUCCCCCAGGCACCUAGUGCCCAUCGUUUACGGCGUGGACUAC